RNAcentral lists this ribosomal RNA (172 nucleotides) under uncultured bacterium. RNAcentral describes it as "partial 16S ribosomal RNA". It matches the Rfam family "Bacterial small subunit ribosomal RNA", at positions 335 to 524 of the family's 1533-position model. The record is from RNAcentral.
ACUCCUACGGGAGGCAGCAGUGGGGAAUCUUGGUCAAUGGGCGCAAGCCUGAACCAGCGAUGCCGCGUGAGUGAUGAAGGCCUUCGGGUUGUAAAGCUCUUUUGCCCGGGAAGAUAAUGACGGUACCGGGAGAAUAAGCCCCGGCAAACUUCGUGCCAGCAGCCGCGGUAAU